AUGAAUCUGCUUGCCUGGAACUGUCGGGGCUUGGGGUUGGACUCGACAGUGGGCGAACUACGCGACCUUGUGAGGUGUCACAACCCAGCAGUGGUUUUCUUGUGUGAAACAAAGAAAAAAGCAAGAGCAAUGGAUAGGCUUAAAUGGAGUUUGGGGUUCAAGAAUGGUGUGGCGGUGGAUUGUGUGGGCAGGAGUGGGGGUCUGGCUCUCUGGUAG
Molecule: ribosomal RNA, 216 nt
Filed under: Triticum aestivum (bread wheat)
Lineage: Eukaryota; Viridiplantae; Streptophyta; Magnoliopsida; Poales; Poaceae
Description: partial small subunit ribosomal RNA
Source: RNAcentral